RNAcentral lists this transfer RNA (70 nucleotides) under Bos taurus (domestic cattle). It matches the Rfam family "tRNA". Rfam says of the family: Transfer RNA (tRNA) molecules are approximately 80 nucleotides in length. Their secondary structure includes four short double-helical elements and three loops (D, anti-codon, and T loops). RNAcentral also lists the same sequence under 2 other names. The record is from Rfam by way of RNAcentral. Lineage: Eukaryota; Metazoa; Chordata; Mammalia; Artiodactyla; Bovidae.
CCUGGUGGCUCAGAUGGUAAAGUUUCUGCCUGCAAUGCAGGAGACCUGGGUUCAAUACCUAGAUCCAGAA